CCAAUUGAUGCUGGAAGAGGUCCUCGCAAAUCCUUGUUGUAUGACAGAUCAAGAAUCUGUAGUUCUGCUAAGUUUGUGAUAUCUCCAGACAGCUGUCCUUUCAAUCCCAUGCUUGACAAUGUUAUGGAAGUCACACGUGAAUUGAUGCACUUUAUGCCAUCCCAUUGGUCUCCACAAGGGUCUGUACCUUUCCAGCUAGGUGGUAAGUUUUCCCAAAUAUCCAUAAGAGCCUUCAACUUAGUUAAAUCAUCACUGUU
This 257-nucleotide unclassified non-coding RNA is filed under the name Hevea brasiliensis (rubber tree). The record is from RNAcentral. Lineage: Eukaryota; Viridiplantae; Streptophyta; Magnoliopsida; Malpighiales; Euphorbiaceae.